RNAcentral lists this ribosomal RNA (478 nucleotides) under Escherichia coli. RNAcentral's name for it is "bacterial SSU rRNA". It matches the Rfam family "Bacterial small subunit ribosomal RNA", at positions 30 to 497 of the family's 1533-position model. Lineage: Bacteria; Pseudomonadati; Pseudomonadota; Gammaproteobacteria; Enterobacterales; Enterobacteriaceae. The record is from RNAcentral.
AUUGAACGCUGGCGGCAGGCCUAACACAUGCAAGUCGAACGGUAACAGGAAGCAGCUUGCUGCUUUGCUGACGAGUGGCGGACGGGUGAGUAAUGUCUGGGAAACUGCCUGAUGGAGGGGGAUAACUACUGGAAACGGUAGCUAAUACCGCAUAACGUCGCAAGACCAAAGAGGGGGACCUUCGGGCCUCUUGCCAUCGGAUGUGCCCAGAUGGGAUUAGCUAGUAGGUGGGGUAACGGCUCACCUAGGCGACGAUCCCUAGCUGGUCUGAGAGGAUGACCAGCCACACUGGAACUGAGGCACGGUCCAGACUCCUACGGGAGGCAGCAGUGGGGAAUAUUGCACAAUGGGCGCAAGCCUGAUGCAGCCAUGCCGCGUGUAUGAAGAAGGCCUUCGGGUUGUAAAGUACUUUCAGCGGGGAGGAAGGGAGUAAAGUUAAUACCUUUGCUCAUUGACUUACCCGCAGAAGAGCACCGCA